This 238-nucleotide unclassified non-coding RNA is filed under the name Hevea brasiliensis (rubber tree). Lineage: Eukaryota; Viridiplantae; Streptophyta; Magnoliopsida; Malpighiales; Euphorbiaceae. The record is from RNAcentral.
UUGGAUGGCUGUGAUAAAUUAGGCCUGUUAUGAGGUCGGUUUGCAUGAAAAUUCCAUCCAAACCAACAAUCAAUCUAAGAAAAAUUCAUUGUGAAUAUAUUGAAAACCGACCCAACCCGUUGUCAAAAAUGAAUGGAUGGCCGAACGGGCAGUUGCCAAAUAUAAUCAUUACCUAUAAAACUUUUGUAGAAUAAUUCAUUACCUAUAAAACUAUGAUCCACCAUAGAUACCACUAAAG